RNAcentral lists this long non-coding RNA (259 nucleotides) under Mytilus galloprovincialis (Mediterranean mussel). Lineage: Eukaryota; Metazoa; Mollusca; Bivalvia; Mytilida; Mytilidae. The record is from RNAcentral.
AAAUAUUGUUAGUAAGGUCUCUGGGAAUAAUAGUAUAGAGUUCGUCUUCAUUGUUUGACCAUGGGGGUCCCCUGACUGAAUGACUGUUCCCACCUUUCUGUUUACCCUUAUUUCACACGUUCCCGCUUUAUUACCUUGUUAUUUUAUUAGCGUUAGGCAUAUAUAUUGUAACCGGGGCCCAUACAUGCUAAGAGUAUGCUUAGAUAAGUCCCGUUUGUCCAUUUCCCGACUCGACAGAAUGUCAACAUUCCGAUCGCCG